CGAGUGUGAAGAUUCCUUAAAGAACUAAAAGUAGAUCUACCAUUUGAUCCAGCAAUCCCACUACUAGGUAUCUAUCCAGAGGAAAAGAAGUCAUUAUAAGAAAAAGAUACUUGCACAUGCAUGUUUAUAGCGCACAAUUUGCAGUUGCAGAAAUAUGGAACCAGCCCAAAUGCCCAUCACAAUGAGUGGAUAAAGAAAAUAUGGUAUAUAUGGGUUAGGCGUGGUGGUUCACACCUGUAAUCCCAGCACUUUGGGAGGCCAAAGCCGGCAGAUCACAAGGUCAAGAGAUCAAGACCACCCUGGCCAACAUGGUGAAACCCCAUCUCUACUAAAAAUACAAAACCAAAAAAAAUUAGCUGGGCGUGGUGGCGCACACCUGUAGUCCCAGCUACCUGGGAGGCUGAGGCCAAAGAAUUGCUUGAACCCGGGACACAGAGGUUGCAGGGAGACAAGAUCAUGCUGCUGCACUCCAGCCUGCAUGUGUUUUACACUUACGGCAUAUCUCAAUGCAGAUGCUACCGGAAAAACUCUGAUCUACCCAAUUCUUCCCUUCUUCACCUACUGGCACAUGAUAAAAGUGGUGAGCUGUCCUGUCCAAUACAGUAUCCACUCAUCACGUGUGGCUACUUACAUUUAACUUAUAUUAAAUAAAAUUAAAACUUCAGUUCUUUGUGAUCUAAGAUAAGUU
Molecule: long non-coding RNA, 688 nt
Filed under: Homo sapiens (human)
Lineage: Eukaryota; Metazoa; Chordata; Mammalia; Primates; Hominidae
Description: HSALNT0294761
Source: RNAcentral